CCUACGGGAGGCAGCAGUGGGGGAUAUUGUACAAUGGGGGGAACCCUGAUGCAGCGACGCCGCGUGGGUGAAGAAGCGCCUCGGCGCGUAAAGCCCUGUCAGCAGGGGAGAAAAUGACGGUACCUGAAGAAGAAGCCCCGGCGAACGACGUGCCAGCAGGCGCGGUAAUUCGUAGGGGGCACGCGUUAACCGGAUUUACUGGGGGUAAAGGGGGCGCAGGCGGCGAUGCAAGGCAGGAGUGAAAGCCCGGGGCCCAACCCCGGGACUGCUCUUGGAACUGCGGGGCUGGAGUGCAGGAGGGGCAUGCGGAAUGCCUGGUGUAGCGGUGAAAUGCGUAGAUAUCAGGAGGAACACCGGUGGCGAAGGCGGCCUGCUGGACUGCAACUGACGUUGAGGCCCGAAAGCGUGGGGAGCAAACAGGAUUAGAUACCCGGGUAGUC
Molecule: ribosomal RNA, 440 nt
Filed under: uncultured bacterium
Lineage: Bacteria
Description: partial 16S ribosomal RNA
Rfam family: Bacterial small subunit ribosomal RNA
Source: RNAcentral